AGUCUCAGACAGGACACAGCAUGGACACGAGGGUCCCCACUCAGCUCCUGGGGCUCCUGUUGCUCUGGCUCCCAGGUGCCAGAUGUGACAUCCAGAUGACCCAGUCUCCAUCCUCCCUGUCUGCAUCUGUAGGAGACAGAGUCACCAUCACUUGCAGAGCCAGUCAGGGUAUUAGGAACUGGUUGGCCUGGUAUCAACAGAAACCAGGGAAAGCCCCUAAGCUCCUGAUCUAUAGGGCAUCCAAUUUGGAAACAGGGGUCCCAUCAAGGUUCAGUGGAAGUGGAUCUGGGACAGAUUUCACUCUCACCAUCAGCAGCCUGCAGCCUGAAGAUAUCGCAACAUAUUACUGUCAACAGUAUGAUAAUUCCCCUCCCACAGUGUUACAAGCCCGAAUACAAACCACCAAGGGAAACAGAAGGAUUAAACACAAUCCAAAGGCUGGAGACAAGCUCAGUACCCUGCAGCAGAACAACCCUGCUAAGCCUUUCCUUGAUCAGCAAGAUAACUGUUAUCAUGAACAUCUCUGA
Non-coding RNA from Cercocebus atys (sooty mangabey), 527 nucleotides. Lineage: Eukaryota; Metazoa; Chordata; Mammalia; Primates; Cercopithecidae. The record is from the annotation of a RefSeq genome assembly.